UACGGAGGGUGCAAGCGUUGUCCGGAUUUAUUGGGUUUAAAGGGUGCGUAGGCGGCCUUGUAAGUCAGUGGUGAAAGCCCCCAGCUCAACUGGAGAACUGCCAUUGAUACUGCAAGGCUUGAGUACAGACGAGGUUGGCGGAAUUGAUUGUGUAGCGGUGAAAUGCAUAGAUACAAUCAAGAACUCCGAUUGCGUAGGCAGCUAACUAGGCUGUAACUGACGCUGAGGCACGAAAGCGUGGGGAGCGAACAGG
This 253-nucleotide ribosomal RNA is filed under the name uncultured bacterium. Its description in RNAcentral is "partial 16S ribosomal RNA". It matches the Rfam family "Bacterial small subunit ribosomal RNA", at positions 524 to 776 of the family's 1533-position model. The record is from RNAcentral.